UACGAAGGGUGCAAGCGUUAAUCGGAAUUACUGGGCGUAAAGCGCGCGUAGGUGGUUCGUUAAGUUGGAUGUGAAAGCCCCGGGCUCAACCUGGGAACUGCAUCCAAAACUGGCGAGCUAGAGUACGGUAGAGGGUGGUGGAAUUUCCUGUGUAGCGGUGAAAUGCGUAGAUAUAGGAAGGAACACCAGUGGCGAAGGCGACCACCUGGACUGAUACUGACACUGAGGUGCGAAAGCGUGGGGAGCAAACAGGAUUAGAUA
This 261-nucleotide ribosomal RNA is filed under the name uncultured Pseudomonadales bacterium. RNAcentral's name for it is "partial 16S ribosomal RNA". It matches the Rfam family "Bacterial small subunit ribosomal RNA", at positions 524 to 784 of the family's 1533-position model. Lineage: Bacteria; Pseudomonadati; Pseudomonadota; Gammaproteobacteria; Pseudomonadales. The record is from RNAcentral.